Molecule: ribosomal RNA, 592 nt
Filed under: uncultured bacterium
Lineage: Bacteria
Description: bacterial SSU rRNA
Rfam family: Bacterial small subunit ribosomal RNA
Source: RNAcentral
AGAGUUUGAUCCUGGCUCAGGAUGAACGCUAGCGGCAGGCCUAACACAUGCAAGUCGAGGGGUAACAGUCCCGCUUUCGGGCGGGAGCUGACGACCGGCGCACGGGUGCGUAACGCGUAUACAAUCUACCUUGUACUAGGGAAUAGCCCAGAGAAAUUUGGAUUAAUGCUCUAUGGUCUAUUAAUGUGGCAUCACAUAAAUAGUAAAGGUUACGGUACAAGAUGAGUAUGCGUCCUAUUAGUUAGUUGGUGUGGUAACGGCACACCAAGGCUACGAUAGGUAGGGGCCCUGAGAGGGGGACCCCCCACACUGGUACUGAGACACGGACCAGACUCCUACGGGAGGCAGCAGUGAGGAAUAUUGGACAAUGGAGGCAACUCUGAUCCAGCCAUGCCGCGUGCAGGAAGACUGCCCUAUGGGUUGUAAACUGCUUUUAUACAGGAAGAAACGCUCCCUCGAGCAGGGAGUUUGACGGUACUGUAAGAAUAAGGAUCGGCUAACUCCGUGCCAGCAGCCGCGGUAAUACGGAGGAUCCAAGCGUUAUCCGGAAUCAUUGGGUUUAAAGGGUCCGUAGGCGGGCAAUUAAGUCAGG